RNAcentral lists this ribosomal RNA (157 nucleotides) under Tolypocladium tundrense. RNAcentral describes it as "5.8S ribosomal RNA". It matches the Rfam family "5.8S ribosomal RNA". Rfam says of the family: 5.8S ribosomal RNA (5.8S rRNA) is a component of the large subunit of the eukaryotic ribosome. It is transcribed by RNA polymerase I as part of the 45S precursor that also contains 18S and 28S rRNA. Functionally, it is thought that 5.8S rRNA may be involved in ribosome translocation. Lineage: Eukaryota; Fungi; Ascomycota; Sordariomycetes; Hypocreales; Ophiocordycipitaceae. The record is from RNAcentral.
CAUAACUUUCAACAACGGAUCUCUUGGCUCUGGCAUCGAUGAAGAACGCAGCGAAAUGCGAUAAGUAAUGUGAAUUGCAGUAUUCAGUGAAUCAUCGAAUCUUUGAACGCACAUUGCGCCCGCCAGUAUUCUGGCGGGCAUGCCUGUUCGAGCGUCA